GGGGGAGACACAAAGUCCCCUUCCACUGUGUGUUGUCUGCUGCCCCAUAGCCACAUCUGGACAUUAUAAAUCACGCGUUGUUGGAGUUCAGCAUUUUCUGAUCUUAGCAACAGCCCCAUUCUAAGCAGAAGGGAACCAGUAUGUUUGGUUCAGCUUAAAAACAACUAAAAUCACAGGUUAAUGGGAGGAAAGAAAAUAACUGUACCAGAGGAAAAAGCAACAGUGGAGCUUUUCUCUACAACCAGUACUGGGCGAGUAACUUUAGAACAUAACAGAACCUGCUUAGAAAAGGUGUGACAUUGCUGCCUUUCAGCAGAAGAUCACUCUGGGUGUUGCAGCUGCUGUGUUCUAGCUCAACUGAGUCUGAUGCCUCCAUCUGCCUGCCUCCUGCAUUCCCCAGCUCAUGGAUCUCCAUGCAAAAUACCUUUAGACCAUUUGCACUAGGAUCUGUCUAAUCUCGUUAGAUUUCUCAUUUUCAGCAUAAUACUGUCAUGGUGCUGUGCACCAGUGCCCCAGAUUAGUGGCUUGUCAGAAUGGUGCCCCACUAAUGAGCUAAUCCAAAUAAUGCUCAAAUCCCAAAUCAGAUUUAAGACGAUCCAGUCUGGGUAGAAUUAGGGAGCAAGAAAUCCUGGCCCAAAGAACAAGCUUUCAUUUUCUUUGUUUCACCUUAAAACAAAAUAGGGGGAGUGCCUGUCAAACUCCAGACUUUUUUUUCCCCUUUGUAUGACAUUAACCUCCAUUACACAAUUGGGAAUAAUAAACAGAAAAGAGUACAUCUGUAUGGAUUGGUAUAAAUUUACCUUAGAGGAUUAGAAAACACAGACACACACACACAUAUGCGAGCUUAAUAUAUUCAGCAGAUCUAUGUCCUUCACAGCUUCUAGUUUUCCUGACUUUCCUGUGAGCUUGACCUUAAGACCUUGUAGAUUUUGAAUCUGAUGUAUUUCAG
This 949-nucleotide long non-coding RNA is filed under the name Homo sapiens (human). RNAcentral's name for it is "HSALNT0046130". Lineage: Eukaryota; Metazoa; Chordata; Mammalia; Primates; Hominidae. The record is from RNAcentral.